GUGCCAGCCGCCGCGGUAAGACGAGGGGUCCUAGCGUUGUUCGGAAUCACUGGGCGUAAAGCGCAUGUAGGCGGCUUUUCAAGUCAGGUGUGAAAGCCCACGGCUUAACCGUGGAAGUGCAUUUGAAACUGUAAAGCUUGAGUAUGGGAGAGGAUGGUAGAAUUCCUGGUGUAGUGGUGAAAUACGUAGAUAUCAGGAGGAAUACCGGUGGCGAAGGCGGCCAUCUGGCCUAAUACUGACGCUGAGAUGCGAAAGUGCGGGGAUCAAACAGGAUUAGAUACCCUGGUAGUCC
Molecule: ribosomal RNA, 292 nt
Filed under: uncultured bacterium
Lineage: Bacteria
Description: partial 16S ribosomal RNA
Rfam family: Bacterial small subunit ribosomal RNA
Source: RNAcentral